CGAUAGCAUAUAUUAACGUUGUUGCAGUUGAAAAGCUCGUAGUUGAACUUUUGGUAGGAGCGACCUGGCCUUGGGCGCAUGCCCUUGUUUGCCGUGUGUCGUGUCUGGCCAUCCUUUUCCGCUUCGGCGGGAAUCUUUUACUGUGAGUAAACUGGAGUGCUCAAAACAAGACGUUUGUUUGGUACAUUAAAGCAUGGAAUAAUAAGAUAGGACCUGGUUACUAUUUUGUUGGUUUGCAUAGCUAGGUAAUGAUUAACAGGGACAGUUGGGGGUAUUCGUAUUUAAUUGUCAGAGGUGAAAUUCUUGGAUUUAUGAAAGACGAACGACUGCGAAAGCAUUUACCAAGGAUGUUUUCAUUAA
This 360-nucleotide ribosomal RNA is filed under the name uncultured eukaryote. Its description in RNAcentral is "partial 18S ribosomal RNA". It matches the Rfam family "Eukaryotic small subunit ribosomal RNA", at positions 592 to 976 of the family's 1831-position model. The record is from RNAcentral.